AAAUUGAAGAGUUUGAUCAUGGCUCAGAUUGAACGCUGGCGGCAGGCCUAACACAUGCAAGUCGAACGGUAACAGGAAGCAGCUUGCUGCUUCGCUGACGAGUGGCGGACGGGUGAGUAAUGUCUGGGAAACUGCCUGAUGGAGGGGGAUAACUACUGGAAACGGUAGCUAAUACCGCAUAACGUCGCAAGACCAAAGAGGGGGACCUUCGGGCCUCUUGCCAUCGGAUGUGCCCAGAUGGGAUUAGCUAGUAGGUGGGGUAACGGCUCACCUAGGCGACGAUCCCUAGCUGGUCUGAGAGGAUGACCAGCCACACUGGAACUGAGACACGGUCCAGACUCCUACGGGAGGCAGCAGUGGGGAAUAUUGCACAAUGGGCGCAAG
This 384-nucleotide ribosomal RNA is filed under the name Escherichia coli. RNAcentral's name for it is "bacterial SSU rRNA". It matches the Rfam family "Bacterial small subunit ribosomal RNA", at positions 1 to 381 of the family's 1533-position model. The record is from RNAcentral. Lineage: Bacteria; Pseudomonadati; Pseudomonadota; Gammaproteobacteria; Enterobacterales; Enterobacteriaceae. RNAcentral also lists the same sequence under 4 other names.